CAAAGAUUAAUUUUAGAGAAGAUGUUUUGAAGUGGAUGAAAUAUAAUUUUCUUGCUUUUCCAAAUGUGACUGAACAUGCUAGAUUAUCUCUCCUAUGAGUGUAAAGGUCUGAACCACCUGCCCAGAAACACACCCUGUCUGUCAUCAUCACCGUCAGGGGGAAAACACACCCUGUCUGUCAUCAUCACCAUCAGGGGGAAAAUACACCCUGUCUGUCAUCAUCACCAUCAGGGGGAAAAUACACCCUGUCUGUCAUCAUCACCGUCAGGGGAAAACACACCCUGUCUGUCAUCAUCACCGUCAGGGGGAAUAUACACCCUGUUUGUCAUCAUCACCGUCAGGUGAAAACACACCCUGUCUGUCAUCAUCACCGUCAGGGGGAAAAUACACCCUGUCUGCCAUCAUCACCAUCAGGGGGAAAACACACCCCGUCUGUCAUCAUCACCGUCAGGGGGAAAAUACACCCUGUCUGUCAUCAUCACCGUCAGGGGAAAACACACCCUGUCUGUCAUCAUCACCGUCAGGGGGAAAAAACACCCUGUCUGUCAUCAUCACCGUCAGGGGGAAAAUACACCCUGUCUGUCAUCAUCACCAUCAGGGGAAAAACACACCCUGUCUGUCAUCAUCACCGUCAGGGGGAAAAUACACCCUGUCUGUCAUCAUCACUGUCAGGGGGAAGAUUAAUGAAGGAAUGAAGUGAUAAUGCCCCGCCAACAUUGCCCUCAUCCAAUAGGCCAACAUUGCCCUCCUCCAAUAGGCCAACAUUGCCCUCCUCCAAUAGGCCAACAUUGCCCUCAUCCAAUAGGCCAACAUUGCCCUCCUCCAAUAGGCCAACAUUGCCCUCCUCCAAUAGGCCAACAUUGCCCUCCUCCAAUAGGCCAACAUUGCCCUCCUCCAAUAGGCCAACAUUGCCCUCCUCCAAUAGGCCAACAUUGCCCUCAUCCAAUAGGCCAACAUUGCCCUCCUCCAAUAGGCCAACAUUGCCCUCCUCCAAUAGGCCAACAUUGCCCUCAUCCAAUAGGCUACAACCACACUAAAAAUAUCUCAGAGAAAGACUCGAACAACUGAUUAAUGUUAUGACUCAUAGAGGCAGAUCAUUUGUCCAGAAAGUAUGAUAACCAACGCUGCCAAACACAGCAAUCAGUGGCGCCCACAUAUUUAAUGACAAAGAUAUGUGAAAACAUCUGAGUCGGUAGAAAACAUGCCAAGUCAUGCCGGUUUUAUCUGGUUUUUCUAGAGAAGCAUUUUAUUUUAUUUUUUUGGCAGAAGGCUCUUCCCCUUUAAGAAUCCCUUUGGCUAGCUAUCAGUGAUGAUGACCCUAUAUGGGGAAGGCUCUUCCCCUUUAAGAAUCCCUUUGGCUAGCUAUCAGUGAUGAUGACCCUAUAUGGGGAAGGCUCUUCACCUUUAAGAAUCCCUUUGGCUAGCUCUCAGUGAUGAU
Oncorhynchus tshawytscha (Chinook salmon) is the source of this 1438-nucleotide long non-coding RNA. NCBI's taxonomy places the organism in Eukaryota, Metazoa, Chordata, Actinopteri, Salmoniformes, Salmonidae. The record is from Ensembl.